GGGCUUGCGUCUGAUUAGCUAGUUGAUAGGGUAAUGGCCUACCAAGGCGAUGAUCAGUAGCUGGUCUGAGAGGACAAGCAGCCAGACGGGGACUGAGACACGGCCCUGACUCCUACGGGAGGCAGCAGCAAGGAAUUUUGCGCAAUGGGCGAAAGCCUGACGCAGCGACGCCGCGUGGGGGAUGAAGGCCCUCGGGUUGUAAACCCCUUUUCUCGGGGAAGUGACGGUACUCGAGGAAUAAGUCUUGGCUAACUACGUGCCAGCAGCCGCGGUAAUACGUAGAAGGCGAACGUUAUUCGGAUUUACUGGGCGUAAAGCGGGGGUAGACGGUCCCUUAAGUCGGGUGUGAAAUCUCCUGACUCAAUCAGGAGAGGUUAUUCGAUACUGAGGAGCUUGAGGGCAGCAGAGGAAGGCGGAACUCCCGGUGUAGCGGUGAUAUGCGUAGAU
This 447-nucleotide ribosomal RNA is filed under the name uncultured bacterium. Its description in RNAcentral is "bacterial SSU rRNA". It matches the Rfam family "Bacterial small subunit ribosomal RNA", at positions 227 to 695 of the family's 1533-position model. The record is from RNAcentral.